UGAUUCAGUCUUUGCCAUGCUGUCUUUUCAUCUGCUGCCAUCCUUCUUCUGUUUGAGCCAGAGACCUCAUUAUCGUCUAAUCGCCACAAGUAAAGGUCAGAGUGUCUGCUCUUUUCUAUUCUGCCGUCGUCGGACACGUCUGUUAGUCAAGAGCUUAUUAGUUCUGGCCUUUCGUCUCUUAAAGAUCAGCUCGGACUCGCCACCAGACCGACGCUGAUUCAUUUUCAAUGCU
Molecule: long non-coding RNA, 232 nt
Filed under: Oryzias javanicus (javanese ricefish)
Lineage: Eukaryota; Metazoa; Chordata; Actinopteri; Beloniformes; Adrianichthyidae
Description: lncRNA (ENSOJAG00000014279.1)
Source: RNAcentral